This 429-nucleotide ribosomal RNA is filed under the name Salmonella enterica subsp. enterica serovar Typhimurium. RNAcentral describes it as "partial 23S ribosomal RNA". It matches the Rfam family "Bacterial large subunit ribosomal RNA", at positions 149 to 584 of the family's 2925-position model. The record is from RNAcentral. Lineage: Bacteria; Pseudomonadati; Pseudomonadota; Gammaproteobacteria; Enterobacterales; Enterobacteriaceae.
UAUCAUUAACUGAAUCCAUAGGUUAAUGAGGCGAACCGGGGGAACUGAAACAUCUAAGUACCCCGAGGAAAAGAAAUCAACCGAGAUUCCCCCAGUAGCGGCGAGCGAACGGGGAGGAGCCCAGAGCCUGAAUCAGCAUGUGUGUUAGUGGAAGCGUCUGGAAAGGCGCGCGAUACAGGGUGACAGCCCCGUACACAAAAGCGCAUGUGCUGUGAGCUCGAUGAGUAGGGCGGGACACGUGGUAUCCUGUCUGAAUAUGGGGGGACCAUCCUCCAAGGCUAAAUACUCCUGACUGACCGAUAGUGAACCAGUACCGUGAGGGAAAGGCGAAAAGAACCCCGGCGAGGGGAGUGAAAAAGAACCUGAAACCGUGUACGUACAAGCAGUGGGAGCCCCACCACUAAGCCAGUGGUGAACUCCACAUCCGCA